AUGGCAUCAUCUUCGGACCCAUGGAUGAAAGAGUACACUGAAGCAUCUAAGCUUGUUGAUGAUAUAAGCUCCAUGAUUGCCGAUAGAAGUUCUCUUCCACAAUCAGGCCCCGAAAUUAUGCGCCACACAUCAGCCAUCCGGAGAAAAAUAACCAUUCUUGGGACUAGACUGGAUAGCUUGGUGACAUUGUUGUCCAGGAUUCCUCCAAAGUCACUCACUGACAAGGAGAUGCAUAAGCGCCAAGAUGCACUUUCCAAUUUGAAAUCUAAAGCAAAACAGAUGGGGACAAGUUUCAACGUGUCAAACUUUGCCAACAGGGAGGAUUUGCUUGGUCAGAGUAAGAAAGCAGCUGAUGAUAUGAGCAGAGUUGCUGGGUUAGACAACCAAGGAAUUGUUGGCCUUCAGAGGCAAGUUAUGAGAGAACAAGAUGAGGGCCUCGAAAGGCUGGAGGAGACAGUCCUGAGCACAAAACAUAUUGCAUUAGCAGUCAAUGAAGAACUUACUCUGCAUACAAGAUUGAUUGAUGACUUGGAAGAUCAUGUUGACGUUACAAACUCCCGUCUUCAGGUAGAUAUCUUACUGCUACUAUUUGAUAUCGAAGUUCCGUUCACGUGGAUGUGCACUGACGUGACUCUCUUGAUUCAGCGUGUGCAAAAGAGGCUUGCAAUUCUGAACAAGCGCGCCAAAGGUGGCUGCUCAUGCAUGUGCCUAAUGCUCUCUGUUGCUGCCAUAGUGCUGCUCGCGGUUAUCGUUUGGCUUCUCAUCAAGUACCUGUAA
RNAcentral lists this ribosomal RNA (777 nucleotides) under Triticum aestivum (bread wheat). Its description in RNAcentral is "partial small subunit ribosomal RNA". The record is from RNAcentral. Lineage: Eukaryota; Viridiplantae; Streptophyta; Magnoliopsida; Poales; Poaceae.